This 392-nucleotide ribosomal RNA is filed under the name Camaenidae gen. Z sp. Z MSJ-2014. RNAcentral describes it as "partial 16S ribosomal RNA". It matches the Rfam family "Archaeal large subunit ribosomal RNA", at positions 1891 to 2621 of the family's 2987-position model. The record is from RNAcentral. Lineage: Eukaryota; Metazoa; Mollusca; Gastropoda; Stylommatophora; Camaenidae.
UCGCCUGUUUAUCAAAAACAUAGCUGUUAGUAAUUYUUAACAGUGUYUUYUGCUCAAUGAAUAUUUAAAUAGCCGCAGUACCUUGACUGUGCAAAGGUAGCAUAAUCAAUUGGCUUAUAAUUGAAGUYUUGUAUGAAUGAAAGCAUGUAGAAUCACUAUAUUYUGAGUAGAAUAUGAAAUUACUUAACAAGUGCAAAUGCUUGUAGAAAAACAAUAGACGAGAAGACCCUAGAAAUUUUGAGUACUGUACGCAAGGUUUUUGUUGGGGCAACAAUGUAGCAUAUAAACCUACAUAAUAUACAUGAAAUUAAUUUGGUUGCUUAAAUUACUCUAGGGAUAACAGCGUAAUGUUAAAACGAUUGCGACCUCGAUGUUGGACUAGGAAAUAUACG